RNAcentral lists this ribosomal RNA (497 nucleotides) under uncultured bacterium. RNAcentral's name for it is "partial 16S ribosomal RNA". It matches the Rfam family "Bacterial small subunit ribosomal RNA", at positions 36 to 507 of the family's 1533-position model. The record is from RNAcentral.
GCUUCCCUCUUCCCCCGUGCCUAAUACAUGCCAGUCGAGCGAACAGACGCGGAGCUUGCUCCUCUGACGUUAGCGGCGGACGGGUGAGUAACACGUGGAUAACCUACCUAUAAGACUGGGAUAACUUCGGGAAACCGGAGCUAAUACCGGAUAAUAUAUUGAACCGCAUGGUUCACUAGUGAAAGACGGUUUUGCUGUCACUUAUAGAUGGAUCCGCGCCGAAUUAGCUAGUUGGUAAGGUAACGGCUUACCAAGGCAACGAUGCGUAGCCGACCUAGGAGAAGGAUGGGCAACACUAGAACGGAGACACGGUCCAGACUCCUAGGGGAGGCAGCAGUAGGGAAUCUUCGGCAGUGGGCUGAAGCCUGACGGAGCAACGCCGCGUGAGUGAUGAAGGUCUUCGAAUCGUAAAGCUCUGUUAUUAGGGAAGAACAAAUGUGUAAGUAACUAUGCACGUCUUGACGGUACCUAAUCAGAAAGCCACGGCUAACUACGUG